UGCAGUCGAGCGGUAGCACAGAGAGCUUGCUCUCGGGUGACGAGCGGCGGACGGGUGAGUAAUGUCUGGGAAACUGCCUGAUGGAGGGGGAUAACUACUGGAAACGGUAGCUAAUACCGCAUAACGUCGCAAGACCAAAGUGGGGGACCUUCGGGCCUCAUGCCAUCAGAUGUGCCCAGAUGGGAUUAGCUAGUAGGUGGGGUAAUGGCUCACCUAGGCGACGAUCCCUAGCUGGUCUGAGAGGAUGACCAGCUACACUGGAACUGAGACACGGUCCAGACUCCUACGGGAGGCAGCAGUGGGGAAUAUUGCACAAUGGGCGCAAGCCUGAUGCAGCCAUGCCGCGUGUAUGAAGAAGGCCUUCGGGUUGUAAAGUACUUUCAGCGAGGAGGAAGGCAUUAAGGUUAAUAACCUUAGUGAUUGACGUUACUCGCAGAAGAAGCACCGGCUAACUCCGUGCCAGCAGCCGCGGUAAUACGGAGGGUGCAAGCGUUAAUCGGAAUUACUGGGCGUAAAGCGCACGCAGGCGGUCUGUCAAGUCGGAUGUGGAAUCCCCGGGCUCAACCUGGGAACUGCAUUCGAAACUGGCAGGCUAGAGUCUUGUAGAGGGGGGUAGAAUUCCAGGUGUAGCGGUGAAAUGCGUAGAGAUCUGGAGGAAUACCGGUGGCGAAGGCGGCCCCCUGGACAAGACUGACGCUCAGUGCGAAGCGU
This 711-nucleotide ribosomal RNA is filed under the name uncultured bacterium. Its description in RNAcentral is "bacterial SSU rRNA". It matches the Rfam family "Bacterial small subunit ribosomal RNA", at positions 56 to 762 of the family's 1533-position model. The record is from RNAcentral.